This 432-nucleotide ribosomal RNA is filed under the name uncultured bacterium. RNAcentral describes it as "partial 16S ribosomal RNA". It matches the Rfam family "Bacterial small subunit ribosomal RNA", at positions 29 to 506 of the family's 1533-position model. The record is from RNAcentral.
AACGAACGCUGGCGGCAUGCCUAACACAUGCAAGUCGAACGAGACCUUCGGGUCUAGUGGCGCACGGGUGCGUAACGCGUGGGAACCUGCCCUUAGGUUCGGAAUAACUCCCCGAAAGGGGUGCUAAUACCGGAUAAUGUCUUCGGACCAAAGAUUUAUCGCCUUUGGAUGGGCCCGCGUUGGAUUAGCUAGUUGGUAGGGUAAAAGCCUACCAAGGCGACGAUCCAUAGCUGGUCUGAGAGGAUGAUCAGCCACACUGGGACUGAGACACGGCCCAGACCCCUACGGGGGGAAGCAGGGGGGAAUAUUGGACAAUGGGCGAAAGCCUAAUCCAGCAAUGCCGGGGGAGGUAUGAAGGCCUUAGGGUUGUAAAGCUUUUUUACCCGGGAUGAUAAUGACAGUACCGGGAGAAAAAGCUCCGGCUAACCCCGU